AACGGUCUAUACCUGCGGUACCUGCGGAAGGAUCAUUAUCGAUUUACAGCGGACUUCGGUCCUGUCUGCACCCUUGUCUUUUGCGUACUAUAUGUUUCCUCGGUGGGCUUGCCUGCCGAUAGGACACUUAUAAACUCUUUUGUAAUUGCAAUCAGCGUCAGAAAACUAUAAUAGUUACAACUUUUAACAACGGAUCUCU
RNAcentral lists this unclassified non-coding RNA (199 nucleotides) under soil metagenome. Its description in RNAcentral is "partial contains 5.8S ribosomal RNA, internal transcribed spacer 2, and large subunit ribosomal RNA". The record is from RNAcentral.